Molecule: long non-coding RNA, 294 nt
Organism: Physeter macrocephalus (sperm whale)
Lineage: Eukaryota; Metazoa; Chordata; Mammalia; Artiodactyla; Physeteridae
Exons: 3
Source: RefSeq, a predicted model, not a curated record
UUUUAAAAGCGGCAGAAAUCUAGGACUGACACCAGCAAACGAUAAUAGUCUUAGAACUUCAGAUCUUGACAGGGAGGCAGUGAGAGGUACUGUGGGACACAUAAGAAGUUCAUCUAUGGUUGGCUCAAAACCUGCUCUUCACAGCAGAGAACAUGGCAGCUACAUGUACGGGAGGAGUCUGUACAAUCUGCCCCUGCCUUUCUGGAAGGAGCUUUUGAUAGAGAGGACAGUCGUUGCUGUGCAGAGGUUGCUCACUUUAACUGCUUUCAAGCCUCACCAAUUCCUCCUCCUUUU